AGCGUUGUCCGGAUUUAUUGGGCGUAAAGCGAGCGCAGGCGGUUCUUUAAGUCUGAUGUGAAAGCCCCCGGCUCAACCGGGGAGGGUCAUUGGAAACUGGAGAACUUGAGUGCAGAAGAGGAGAGUGGAAUUCCACGUGUAGCGGUGAAAUGCGUAGAUAUGUGGAGGAACACCAGUGGCGAAGGCGACUCUCUGGUCUGUAACUGACGCUGAGGCUCGAAAGCGUGGGGAGCAAACAGGAUUAGAUACCCUGGUAGUCCACGCCGUAAACGAUGAGUGCUAAGUGUUGGAGGGUUUCCGCCCUUCAGUGCUGCAGCUAACGCAUUAAGCACUCCGCCUGGGGAGUACGACCGCAAGGUUGAAACUCAAA
RNAcentral lists this ribosomal RNA (370 nucleotides) under uncultured Lactobacillales bacterium. Its description in RNAcentral is "bacterial SSU rRNA". It matches the Rfam family "Bacterial small subunit ribosomal RNA", at positions 537 to 905 of the family's 1533-position model. The record is from RNAcentral. Lineage: Bacteria; Bacillati; Bacillota; Bacilli; Lactobacillales.